Molecule: long non-coding RNA, 1878 nt
Filed under: Coturnix japonica (Japanese quail)
Lineage: Eukaryota; Metazoa; Chordata; Aves; Galliformes; Phasianidae
Description: lncRNA (ENSCJPG00005014949.1)
Source: RNAcentral
CUGGUAGUUGGCCAUACAUGGUCUUAACAUAAAGGUUCCUAAGUCACAAUUAUGUUGGCUUAAUUUGCAUAAUAAUGGAUUUUUUAUGGCAUAGUCUUUCUUCAAUUCUUUACAGCUUGAAAGAGAAAUUUACUGAUAAAAUACUCUGUUCCAUCCCCAGAUACUUGAGGUCAAAGAGUACGGUGUCUUGUGAUCCUCUUCUAUUCACUGAAUCAGGGUGUGUGAUAAGAACAACACUUCUUUUUUCUUAAAUGCUGUGAAGAAAAUUUUCUAGCCAAAGGAAGCAUGCUUGAAUACAGAUGUGCAGAAUUAUGGGAACUGCUGAGUCACAUCCUGAAACACUGGUUAAUUACUUAAGGAAAGGAUGGAAUCAGCCAUGGAAGCACAGGUGAAGAUGAUUCACCUGUGUGACCUCCUAGACCCCUCUUAAGGCCUGACUGCCUCCUAGAGAAGGUUCUCUUUCAGAAGAUCUUGUAUUUGAGAAGCCUCUCCAGCAAACUUAGAUCUUCAGAUACAGGUGAGCAUUCCUUCCCUGUUUGUUUCUUUUUCCAUUUUCACUACGAUAAUCUUUCCAGCUGUAACAUCAACUGUAACAGCUUACAAUUAUCCUAAUGGACUACAGCAUUCCACAAAAUCAUUAAGGUAAUCAUGCAUUCUGAUGACUGUGCCCCUUAUGCAAACAUAGCAAGAUAUACAGAUGAUUGUGAAUAAACUGGGAUAACCAGGAGACAGCUAGCUCUGAAUUUGUACCCUGGCCUCUGUAAAACAAGCUAUAUACAACAUCACAAUUAUAGCUGGAGCACAGGAGAUUAAAGGCACCUGAAGAUUAGCCCUUUUUGCCAGCAGCUUAUUUAGCAAUUACCCUCUCAUAUAAAACACUGACAAAUCCAGAGUAUGUUUUCUCAUACUCUUUGUUUAGGUGCAAAACUCAUCUUUGCUGUUGGUGGAUAUAUACGGCUUCAGGCUGGGUUCACACUUCAUGCUGUCUUAUGUGCAAGGGGCUCAGCUAGAGAAGUAGAAGGAAGAUACAAGAGGACAGAGAGAGAAGCAGAGACUUCAGACUGCAGGUUUGCAUAUCUAGUAUGUGAACGGUGUUUUGAAGCAAGCUCAUUCUGCUCUGUGCAUGUUAUGUUAACCAAAAGGCAGCACUUUUUAUUCAUUGAUGUCUGCAAAUCAGAAAAUUCACAAAUUUUUGCUGGAAAUUCUGGGUGGUGCAAGAUAGGAAAAAAAUCCUAUUGCAUUUGAUGCAAACAGAUAAACUUACCUUCUAUAAUUUGUUCUUGAUUUUACUGUUACUUGUUCUUUCUUUCUCUGUAUUUAAAUAUGUCUGUACGCGUGGUCUUCAGAAGGCAGAUUUUUGAACAGGAAGCCUUGAUACAACUGUUGGUGUCAUUGAUGAAGACAUUAAAGAUUGUCAGUCCCUGUACUGACCUCUGAGGGACACCACACAUCACUGGUCUCCAUCUGGACAUGGAGCCACUGACCACCACUUUAUUGAGUCCAGUUGCUUGUACAUUAAACAAAUCUACCCAUCAAAUUAAUGUAUUUCUAAUCUGUAGAGAAGGAUGUUAUGAGGAACUAUGUCAAAGGCCUUUAGUUCAUAUUGUUGAUAUCAGUGACUCUUCCCUUGUCUACUGAUGCAGUUGCACCAUUAUAAAAAGCAGAGUGGUUGGUCAUGCAUGAAAUUUUUUUCAGUAAUCAUUUCAGUGAACUUCAGUUGAAAUUAAUUUUUGAAUUCUUUUCUGAAGUGCAGUCUUUCUGUUUCAUGAUCACCAUUUCAGCUUUUAUGGAUGUGUAUGAACAUUUUUCCAUGUAAAGAAAGAUAUAAUCUUUUUAUCUAUUCAGAUACAAAUAAACAAACAAACAAAAAAAAAACCA